Long non-coding RNA from Pongo pygmaeus (Bornean orangutan), 2262 nucleotides. RefSeq lists it as uncharacterized. NCBI's taxonomy places the organism in Eukaryota, Metazoa, Chordata, Mammalia, Primates, Hominidae. The record is from RefSeq and is a predicted model, not a curated record. The transcript is spliced from 3 exons.
GCCCGCGGCUGGCACACGCGGGCUCCCCCGCGCACCCUCUCCGGGGCCGACCAGCUCGGGCCGCUGGCACAGUCACGCGCGUCCACACAUCACCCCCGCACCCACACGCCCGGCAGGUCCUCGCUUCUUCGCCCCGCGCCGCGCCGCGCAGCCAAGCAUCGUCUGCCCUGUGGGUGCGCAGUUGGAUCUGCCUCCUGGGGAAGUAAGAGCCCGGAUGCCCUUCCAGGUGACCUUCGUUUGGAGAUUGGGUGUGCUCCAGCUCCUGGACUUUUUAAAAUUCCUGGAAUUGUGUCUGUCUAUCAUGGGGCUGGUACUAUUACCAUACAUUUCAGAAAACAGCAUCUGUUUACGAAGUGUUUUAUUAUACAACACAGAAAUACAUUUCACCCCAAAUGAUAGCAGUGAACUUCAGCCCCCAGAAUCUCCUUCUCCCCUUUGUGAAACAGAGCUGGGAUGACGGCAGAGGACUCCAGAACGCACUGAGAUUGUUCCUUGUCGUGACAAAUGGCAAAGGACUCUAGAACGCACUGAGAUUGUUCCUUGGUGUGAUGGGCCAGAGAGCACACGUUUCUUCAAGCCAUUCUCACAUCAAAUAAAACGUUGAUAAAUCAUUGUUUCUCUAAGCUUGAAAAAUGCUAAUAACUCAAGACAAGAUGAAAGUGAGUUUGUUGAAAUCAACGUGAAGGAUCGAGGGUACCAACUUGGAAUGUAAAACCAUAGAAAAUACCAUCUGGGAACACGGAAAUCAUCUCUCUUAUCUGGAAGCCUGUCUCCAGAGUGGCAAACUUAGGGACUGGUUUGAGGACAGAGUGUGCCCUGUGUGCUGGGGAGGGGUGUAAAGGACUGGGAUGGAGGCGGGGCUCAAGAUGUUCUUUUACCCAUAAAUACACUGUACAUCACUGUCUGCCGCUGAAGCUUAAGGAUUGAUAACCUUGGGGAUGUUUCACUCUGGUUUUGCUUCCACCUCUGCAAUGUUUGAACUUGCAUUUUCUGAGCCGUGUAUGCAACUAAAAGCCUUAAAUGCAUUACCCACCCUUCACCUCUCUUACUAGUCCUAUUUACAGAUGAGAAAACAGGCACAAGGAGUUUUGCUGAUUCGGGAUUGUUACUGGUUUUAGGUUUUGUUUUCCUCCCGACAGCUCCUGGACUCUUUAAAAUUCCUGUAAUUGUGUCUCUCAAUCAUGGGCCAGGAAUAUGAGAAUCAGCUGUGAACUUCGAGCCUGUCCAUCUCAAAACUCCUCAUCUCCAAGACAUUUCAAUAAAGCUUUGCCAGUAAACAAAAAUAAAUAGGGUUCAGUUUACCCAGAAGCCAAAUCCCUUGUAAUAAGUUCUGGGCCAGGUUCUUCCCAGAGCAGAAGAAUGUACAGUUGUAGUUUGAGUUGAUUUUAUUUCUUUGAGGCUUUGUUUUUCUAGUCUUUCGGGCCUUACCUCACUCCCUCAGUAACAGCUGAAAUAUGAGAAGAGACCAUAUGGCCCCCAAAAAGUCCCCAGAUUAACCAAGAUUGAUGCCACCCAGGGCCCAGUUGGGGGUCAACGCCCUGUGUCAGGUGUGCUCUCUGUAUAAUUCGUUUCCUGUGAGAAGAGCAUUAAAGGCCCGUGAAUGUUUUAAAAUGAAAUGCAACCUCUUAAUAACCAGGUUUCUCCACUUUGCUAGGAUUCCAAAAACAAAAAUCAGCAACUGACAAAUGUUAAAAAUUUCUUCGCUGCUAAUCAUGCUUCCCCUCCUUCCCUUUCUUUCCCUCCCCUCUCUCUUCUAACAUGAAUUUAUUUUCUAUUUGAAAGCCAAUCUCACUGGUUAUUAGAUAUUCUCCCUGCUGUCACUAUCAGUAAAUUAUUAAACAGCUGACCAAGCUUUGUUUUAAAAUGAUUCUCUUAUGAAGCUCAGUGAUAUAUUUGCUAUGAAUACUGAAUGGUGCCGCGGUCUCUAAGGACACGUGAAUGAUUCCUAUUUACUACCUUUAGCAAAAUGUGUGUGCAAUUAGCGGCAAGAACUUGACUUGAAUCACAGUUACUAGGGAUGCCUGUAGCUCAUUUACAUGGAGCUCUCUUUACUCAUUACACUCCUGCCCGGGAGAAGCGUGUUAAGAUUCUAGGCCAGGUCACGAAAUAGCAUAUAGGCUUGUCUUUUGUCAUUCCUCACCUCCUUUCUUGUCUUGCCACUGCUGAGCCUUGACAUACCCGUGGGAAUCCUUUGUUUCAUGGAGCAGCGGGUUCUAAGUGAAUUUUUGCUUAAAGAAAAUAAACGUGAUUGAGAGAAAAUUA